RNAcentral lists this ribosomal RNA (497 nucleotides) under Lutosa sp. ICCM-2015. RNAcentral describes it as "partial 16S ribosomal RNA". It matches the Rfam family "Bacterial large subunit ribosomal RNA", at positions 1830 to 2582 of the family's 2925-position model. The record is from RNAcentral. Lineage: Eukaryota; Metazoa; Arthropoda; Insecta; Orthoptera; Anostostomatidae.
CUUUAGAAAGGAAAAUUUAAGGUCCGGCCUGCCCACUGAUUGAAAUUUAAAGGGCCGCGGUAUUUUGACCGUGCAAAGGUAGCAUAAUCACUAGUUUUUUAAUUGAAGGCUGGAAUGAAUGGUUUCACGAGGUAUUAACUGUCUCUAAGUAAUAUGUUUGAAUUUAACUUUUUAGUAAAAAGGCUAAAAUAAUAUUAAAGGACGAGAAGACCCUAUAGAGCUUUAUAAUUUAUAAAAAUUUAUAUUUUUAGAUUCAAUGAUAUAAAUUUUUAAAAGAUUAUUUGAUUGGGGUGAUUUGAAGAUUUAAUAAACUCUUUAUAAUAAGAAUACAUUGAUUUAUGAAUAAUUGAUCCAUUAUUAUUGAUUAAAAGAUUAAGUUACCUUAGGGAUAACAGCGUAAUUUUUUUUUAGAGUACAUAUCAACAAGAAAGAUUGCGACCUCGAUGUUGGAUUAAGGAAUAUUAUUAGGUGCAGAAGUUUAAUAAAUAGGUCUGUUC